Molecule: long non-coding RNA, 1846 nt
Filed under: Sorghum bicolor (sorghum)
Lineage: Eukaryota; Viridiplantae; Streptophyta; Magnoliopsida; Poales; Poaceae
Description: long non-coding RNA (SBIC_LNC000074)
Source: RNAcentral
UGCGGUGUCCCGUAUCCCCCGCGUUCCUGGCGGUGGUACCCACCGCGCCGGCCAGGCAGCCUUCGGCAACAUGUGCCGUGGCGGACGCAUGUUCGCGCCCACCAAGAUCUGGCGCCGCUGGCACCGCCGCGUCAACAUCCACCUCCGCCGUGUCGCCAUCGCCUCCGCCCUCUCCGCCACCACCGUCCCGUCCCUCGUCCUCGCCCGCGGCCACCGCGUGGAGUCCGUCCCCGAGCUUCCGCUCGUCGUUUCCGACUCUGCCGAGUCUAUUGAGAAGACUACACAGGCCAUCAAGAUCCUCAAGCAGCUCGGUGCCUACGCCGAUGCUGAGAAGGCCAAGGACUCCGUUGGCAUCCGCCCCGGCAAGGGGAAGAUGCGCAACCGCCGCUACAUCAACCGCAAGGGACCCCUCGUUGUCUACGGCACGGAGGGCUCUAAGAUCGUCAAGGCCUUCCGCAACCUCCCUGGCGUUGAUGUUGCCAAUGUCGAGCGUCUCAACCUGCUCGACCUCGCUCCUGGUGGCCACCUUGGCCGGUUUGUCAUCUGGACUGAGUCCGCGUUUAAGAAGCUCGAUGAGGUGUACGGUACCUUCGACACGCCAUCGGCGAAGAAGAAGGGUUUCGUGCUCCCGAGGGCCAAGAUGGCAAACGCUGAUUUGUCCAGGCUCAUCAACUCUGACGAGGUGCAGUCAGUGGUGAAGCCCAUCAACAAGGAGGUGAAGCGUAGGGAGCCUAGGAAGAAUCCACUGAAGAAUAUGGCUGCAGUGCUCAAGCUGAACCCGUACCUUGGUACUGCACGCAAGAUGGCAGCCCUAGCAGAGGCAGCGCGUGUCAAUGCCAGGAAGCAGAAGCUUGACUCCAAGAGGACCAAACUCAGCCCAGUAUGAUAAUCUUCUCUGUAUACAGCUGUUCAUAGUAUUCUACAUUGUUUGUUAUUUAGAAUUGUAUACAUUUAUGGCUUCAGUACUGUACCAUUUCUUCGUCAUUGAUUGUGUAUUUUGACAUUUUCUAUGCUGCCUAUAGGUAUUGGGUAUGGUAUAUUUCUUGAAUUAGGUUGUAUUGUGUUAUAGCUUAAGUUGAUUGUUUAGAAUGGUACUAUUUGUUCCUAGUUUCUAGAUUGUGUUAAUAUGGUUAUCCAACAUGCAUGCGACUGAACCUUUAUGAGGAACUGUUGACAUUGAUGCUGCAUAUUUUGGCGUGCUGCUCAAGCUGUCAAUUCUUAUCGCUGGAUUAGGCCUAUUUCACAAUGUCCUGGGAGUUUGCUAGUUCAGAUAAUGAAUUAGUUGUUUACUCUAGUUUGCGGUGAAUCAUGUAACUUUCUGCUAUAUGGAACACCUCAAGUUACUGUUUCUCUAGCUAAUAAAUUAAAUCCACGAAAUGUUUCUUGACAGUGUAUUUUAUCUGGAACUAUAGAUUUUAAUAUAGUUCUUGUAUAAAUUUUGUCAGAGUUUGAUGUUAAACUUGGGACAAAACUAAAGCAGGCAACAGUUAAGCUCAUUAGCAGCUAUACAUUUCACAGUAGCUUAAUUAUUUCCACCAUAGAUUUAUCUUCAAGAUGUGAACUGAAUGACACAUGGUUGUUUCACGUUCUGCUGAUGUUCUUGGUCCUAGACACAUACACUCCGUUGUCAGUUAUUUUGCAUGCCUAUUGCUGUUCACACUCAGUUGUCAGUUAUUUGGUAUGCCUAUUGCUGUUCACAUAGGUUAGAUGAACUGUGCAUUGCAUUUCACCACUAAAUUGUUUGCUGUUAUAUAUUCCGUUUCCAAUACCAUCUUCCAAUUCAAUCUGACUAGAUGUAAUGUAUAUCUAGGUGCUUAAAAAAUUUUGUACCUAGAAAGGCCAAACA